This 465-nucleotide ribosomal RNA is filed under the name uncultured Klebsiella sp. RNAcentral's name for it is "bacterial SSU rRNA". It matches the Rfam family "Bacterial small subunit ribosomal RNA", at positions 338 to 795 of the family's 1533-position model. The record is from RNAcentral. Lineage: Bacteria; Pseudomonadati; Pseudomonadota; Gammaproteobacteria; Enterobacterales; Enterobacteriaceae.
CCUACGGGAGGCAGCAGUGGGGAAUAUUGCACAAUGGGCGCAAGCCUGAUGCAGCCAUGCCGCGUGUGUGAAGAAGGCCUUCGGGUUGUAAAGCACUUUCAGCGGGGAGGAAGGCGUUAAGGUUAAUAACCUUGGCGAUUGACGUUACCCGCAGAAGAAGCACCGGCUAACUCCGUGCCAGCAGCCGCGGUAAUACGGAGGGUGCAAGCGUUAAUCGGAAUUACUGGGCGUAAAGCGCACGCAGGCGGUCUGUCAAGUCGGAUGUGAAAUCCCCGGGCUCAACCUGGGAACUGCAUUCGAAACUGGCAGGCUAGAGUCUUGUAGAGGGUGGUAGAAUUCCAGGUGUAGCGGUGAAAUGCGUAGAGAUCUGGAGGAAUACCGGUGGCGAAGGCGGCCCCCUGGACAAAGACUGACGCUCAGGUGCGAAAGCGUGGGGAGCAAACAGGAUUAGAUACCCUUGUAGUC